UGUCUGUACCAGGCCCGGGCUAUUUUUAGUCGCCUGAUGAAAUCCCUCGAACUGUCAACAAAGGGCUUGCGCAGCCUCCAGUUCGCCGGGUCCGCGUCCCUCCUGGUGAAGGAGCAGGAUCCUCUCCAGAGCAAAGGGUGUCUGGCGCCCGCCCUGCGCGCCUGCGAUGCCCACAGCAGGAAGCGGCUCCUGGAGCGCCCGUCCAGGCAGCCGGGGCGCCGGGGGGCCACGUUUGUUUGUCCUUCUAUGUGAAGCAAUCGCCCAGCUGCUCUUGGAGGAGAACGGCCUGUGUGUUCUAACCAGCCCGCGGCACUGGUGACCUCAAGUGCCCGGGAGGACACUCAACUAACUGAGCAACACUGGCCAGGGCAGGACUCAGCGUUUGAAACACAGUUCCCAGAGAUUCUGGAAGCUGCCCCGUGAUUUUGCGUCAUCAUCGGUCUUUCUGUGUCUCACUCCCUCGGAUUAAUUCUGCUUUUCUUGGUGAAGGGAUCCCCAAGGUCUCCUAGCAUGUGACAUGUCACUAGGGAGUGACGAGGGCACAGCAGGACACGAUGCCCCCAGCGAGCCCGGGUGUGAGAAAUGCAGAGGUCACGGGAGCACAAAGCAGCAGUGCUGGUGGCUCAGAUAGCGACUCUUUGAGGACUUCCUUCACAGAGCACGUCAGCAACAGCCAUGUCAUAGGACCGAGGCGUGACAACACGCAGGUGACCUUCAUGUAAGAGCCGAAGGGAGACGUCCCCUGGAGUCUGUUGGCAGCGCAGCGGAGGCUGAGGUCUGAGAGGACCUUUGACCCUCUCUUCUCUGCCUCUUCCUGUACCCGGGCCUCCUGGGUGGCCUCUUGGCUGUUGAGGAACCAACAUGUGGGGCAUGAGUGAUGAUCCACUCAUCGCCUUUCUGUCCCAUUCAUUCAUACGUGGUUUAAGGACUGUCCUCAGGUCGGCGGGUGAUACAGGGACACUUCCUCUCUCUCCAAGAUCAGGGCUCCAGUGACUAGCUCUCCACCGCCCCCUGCUGUCCCAGAUGCAGAAACCGGAAAGUGCCCUAAAUAGAAAGCUGUGUGCGAGAAUGUUGGUGGCCAUGAUAGACCCAAAUUGGAAAGAGCCUAGGUAGCCCUCAACGGGAGAAUGGAGAAAUGAGCCGUAGAAAGUUUUUAAAAAAUAUAUACUUAUUUCAGAGAGGAAGGGAGAGGGAGAUAGAAACAUCAAUGAUGAGAGAGAAUCACUGAUCAACUGCCUCCUGCACACCCCACACUGGGGAUGGAGCCCGCAACCCCGGCAUGUGCCCUGACUGGGAAUCGAACCGUGACCUCCUGGUUCAUAGAUGGACGCUCAACCACUGAGCCAAACCGGCCAGGCAGCCGUGGAAAGUUUAUAUAACGCAAUAAUAUCCAAUAAUAAAUCAAAGCAAACUACUGA
Molecule: long non-coding RNA, 1418 nt
Organism: Myotis daubentonii (Daubenton's bat)
Lineage: Eukaryota; Metazoa; Chordata; Mammalia; Chiroptera; Vespertilionidae
Source: RefSeq, a predicted model, not a curated record